This 157-nucleotide ribosomal RNA is filed under the name Dudleya candelabrum. RNAcentral's name for it is "5.8S ribosomal RNA". It matches the Rfam family "5.8S ribosomal RNA". Rfam says of the family: 5.8S ribosomal RNA (5.8S rRNA) is a component of the large subunit of the eukaryotic ribosome. Lineage: Eukaryota; Viridiplantae; Streptophyta; Magnoliopsida; Saxifragales; Crassulaceae. RNAcentral also lists the same sequence under 9 other names. The record is from RNAcentral.
GCAACGGAUAUCUCGGCUCUCGCAUCGAUGAAGAACGUAGCAAAAUGCGAUACUUGGUGUGAAUUGCAGAAUCCCGCGAAUCAUCGAGUCUUUGAACGCAAGUUGCGCCCGAAGCCUUUAGGCCGAGGGCACGUCUGCCUGGGCGUCAUGCACUGCG